UACAGAGAGGGCAAGCGUUGUUCGGAAUUACUGGGCGUAAAGGGCGCGUAGGCGGCCUUCUAAGUCGAACGUGAAAUCCCCGGGCUCAACCCGGGAACUGCGUCCGAGACUGGGAGGCUUGAAUCCGGGAGAGGGAUGUGGAAUUCCAGGUGUAGCGGUGAAAUGCGUAGAUAUCUGGAGGAACAUCGGUGGCGAAGGCGGCAUCCUGGACCGGUAUUGACGCUGAGGCGCGAAAGCCAGGGGAGCAAACGGG
This 253-nucleotide ribosomal RNA is filed under the name uncultured bacterium. Its description in RNAcentral is "partial 16S ribosomal RNA". It matches the Rfam family "Bacterial small subunit ribosomal RNA", at positions 524 to 776 of the family's 1533-position model. The record is from RNAcentral.